GACGAACGCUGGCGGCGUGCUUAACACAUGCAAGUCGAACGUGAUUUUUGUGGAAAUUCUUUCGGGAAUGGAAAUGAAAUGAAAGUGGCGAACGGGUGAGUAACACGUGAGCAACCUACCUUACACAGGGGGAUAGCCGUUGGAAACGACGAUUAAUACCGCAUGAGACCACAGAAUCGCAUGAUAUAGGGGUCAAAGAUUUAUCGGUGUAAGAAGGGCUCGCGUCUGAUUAGCUAGUUGGAAGGGUAAAGGCCUACCAAGGCGACGAUCAGUAGCCGGUCUGAGAGGAUGAACGGCCACAUUGGAACGGAGACACGGUCCAAACUCCUACGGGAGGCAGCAGUGGGGAAUAGUGCACAAUGGGGGGAACCCUGAUGCAGCGACGCCGCGUGAGCGAAGAAGGUUUUCGAAUCGUAAAGCUCUGUCCUAUGAGAAGAUAAUGACGGUAUCAUAGGAGGAAGCCCAGGCGAAAUACGU
This 477-nucleotide ribosomal RNA is filed under the name uncultured bacterium. Its description in RNAcentral is "partial 16S ribosomal RNA". It matches the Rfam family "Bacterial small subunit ribosomal RNA", at positions 28 to 506 of the family's 1533-position model. The record is from RNAcentral.